Long non-coding RNA from Sciurus carolinensis (gray squirrel), 1150 nucleotides. RefSeq lists it as uncharacterized. The transcript is spliced from 3 exons. NCBI's taxonomy places the organism in Eukaryota, Metazoa, Chordata, Mammalia, Rodentia, Sciuridae. The record is from RefSeq and is a predicted model, not a curated record.
CCUGGAUCACUCCUGUGGUCACAGAGGCAGGACGGGAGGAGGGGACACCAGAACAAAGGAAAUCUGAAACGUGUACACGGGGCAGGGCCUCCACCCCGCCAGUGAACUAAGAGUCAAACCCAACGCUGCAGAGAGGACGAUAGUGCCAGGCGCUGGGGAAGAAGAAAGGACGAGCUGCUGAUCACCAGGUCACAAGGACAGAUGGUGACGCAGGACAGUUCCCGGUGGGCACGCCAUGGAGCCACCGUGAGCACUGACCUGGUGAAGGCUGAGCCCUGCUCCCGGGGCCACAGCCGGUCGCGGUCUCCUCGACUGCUGCUAGGCCUCCUCGGGCUCCCCGUGCUUCCUCUAAAGACAGCUCCUCAGCAGCGCCCAGGCCCGCUCCCUCGGAACCUGUGUCCCCAGCACACACACGUCCUCCAGGACCCUCUCCGCCCCUUGCCCUUAGGAACGCGGGACAACUCCGGCACCACUCUUGGGGCGAUUUCAAACACCACGGUCACUAACAAGAGCAUAAAAAUGAGGAAAAUGUGAUGCAGAUCGACUGCGCAGGGGGCUUGUUUGCAGUGUGCGCGUCUCUGUCCCAGCUGGACCGGCGACACUCGGCCCAGGCCUCACUGCUCUGCGCACUCGGUGCUAAAAUGUUGGCAGCUUACAGAUGAACUUUACCAAGUGGGCUGUGAGGGCUGGACCCUGCUUCUCCAAACUUCUCAUGCCAAGCUCUGGCCCCCAGAGCCACCGUGUUUGGAGGCUGGGCUUGAAGGAGUUGAUGAGGGUGAACUGAGGUCACACAGGUGAGGUCCUGCCAACAGGACAGGACGGGGUCCUCGCAGGAGGAGGAGGCAGCAGAAGCGUCCUUCCUACCCUGAGCAGGAUCCUGGAAGAAGGCAGCAUCCCCGCGCGGGCGAGAGGAGUCGGCUGGAAACCUCCCACCUCGGACGGGGACCUUAGCCUCCAGAACUGCGAGAACCUGUUCCUCUGCCCUUUAAGCCCCCCGUGGGCCUGGCCUUCCUUCCUUCCCCAGCCCAGCGCACCAGCACCGAGGCCGCCUCACCCCUGCGCAACUCGCACCCCUGGAGGCCGAGCGCUCCUCCGCAGCAGCCGCUCUUCUCUCCUGCUCGGCGACGCUGCCUUUCCCACGGGGACACUC